Molecule: ribosomal RNA, 171 nt
Filed under: uncultured bacterium
Lineage: Bacteria
Description: partial 16S ribosomal RNA
Rfam family: Bacterial small subunit ribosomal RNA
Source: RNAcentral
UCCUACGGGAGGCAGCAGUGGGGAAUCUUGCACAAUGGGCGAAAGCCUGACGCAGCCAAGCCGCGUGAAUGAUGAAGGUCUUAGGAUUGUAAAAUUCUUUCACCGGGGACGAUAAUGACGGUACCCGGAGAAGAAGCCCCGGCUAACUUCGUGCCAGCACCCGCGGUAAUA